RNAcentral lists this unclassified non-coding RNA (274 nucleotides) under uncultured Ascomycota. RNAcentral describes it as "sequence contains ITS2". Lineage: Eukaryota; Fungi; Ascomycota. The record is from RNAcentral.
AACGCACAUUGCGCCCUUUGGCAUUCCGAAGGGCAUGCCUGUUCGAGCGUCAUUAUCAACCCUCAAGCCCGGCUUGUUUGUUGGACCUCGCACCGAUCUUUAACCGUCGGUGGGUCUGAAAGAUAAUGGCAGAGUCGGCUGGACCCUGGAUGCAGCGAGCUUUAUUUCAGCACGCAUCCACGAUGGUCCUCCGGGCUCGGUCUUGACCGGAUUUUUUGUUAAAUCUACUUCUAUGGUUGACCUCGGAUCAGGUAGGGACACCCGCUGAACUUAA